GAUGAACGCUGGCGGCGUGCCUAAUACAUGCAAGUCGAGCGAACGGACGAGAAGCUUGCUUCUCUGAUGUUAGCGGCGGACGGGUGAGUAACACGUGGAUAACCUACCUAUAAGACUGGGAUAACUUCGGGAAACCGGAGCUAAUACCGGAUAAUAUUUUGAACCGCAUGGUUCAAAAGUGAAAGACGGUCUUGCUGUCACUUAUAGAUGGAUCCGCGCUGCAUUAGCUAGUUGGUAAGGUAACGGCUUACCAAGGCAACGAUGCAUAGCCGACCUGAGAGGGUGAUCGGCCACACGGGAACGGAGACACGGUCAAGACUCCUACGAGAGGCAGCAGUAGGGAAUCGUCCGCAAUGGGCGAAAGCCUGACGGAGCAACGCCGCGUGAGUGAUGAAGGUCUUCGGAUCGUAAAACUCUGUUAUGAGGGAAGAACAUAUGUGUAAGUAACUGUGCACAUCUUGACGGUACCUAAUCAGAAAGCCACGGCUAACUACGUG
Molecule: ribosomal RNA, 497 nt
Filed under: uncultured bacterium
Lineage: Bacteria
Description: partial 16S ribosomal RNA
Rfam family: Bacterial small subunit ribosomal RNA
Source: RNAcentral